CUUCCAGAUCUGCCGAAGAAUACUACUUCUACAAGCCGUAGUGUUGUCCGGUCAUCUUCUAAUCAAGUGAGUGUAGUUACUUUCUUCUAACGCAUAAUUAUGAAGUAUUUUAUACGAAAUAUGUGCUAUGUGUAUAAUAUAAAGAUUUUUAUAUGUGUGAGUGUGUGGUCACUUUCUUCUAACACAUAAAUAUUAAGNGUUACUUUCUUCUAACACAUAAACAUGAAGUAUUUGUUAUAAAAUACGUGCU
Molecule: long non-coding RNA, 250 nt
Filed under: Lactuca sativa (garden lettuce)
Lineage: Eukaryota; Viridiplantae; Streptophyta; Magnoliopsida; Asterales; Asteraceae
Description: long non-coding RNA (LSAT_LNC000359)
Source: RNAcentral